This is a long non-coding RNA of Aquila chrysaetos chrysaetos, 2105 nucleotides long. RefSeq lists it as uncharacterized. The record is from RefSeq and is a predicted model, not a curated record. The transcript has 4 exons. NCBI's taxonomy places the organism in Eukaryota, Metazoa, Chordata, Aves, Accipitriformes, Accipitridae.
GGGCCUGCUGACACUAAAAUUUUCAGAGGUAGAUUAUGGAGAUUUACAGCUUCUGUUCUUGGUGCAUGUGGACAGUUUUUUUGCUCUUCAUGUGCAGCAGGUGUGAUGUGGGAAGCAUUGGGCCCAUCUUUUUGGUCCUAUCUGCACCUGCAGAUCUGCAAGGGCUGCUCUUGGAUCUCAUGAAGAAGUUCAAGCAAGCAGAUAAGAUCAUAUAUUGCAAGGGAUCACAUAUAAGGAAAAGAUAUAUUAAAGCAAACAAUUGCACGAGGACUCUUAGUAAGACGGAGGGCUGGAAGACGGGUACUCGUGACCACUGACAAGCUCUUGAGGAUGAGCUGCGGGAUCACCUCAAACACACCUCAACUCAGAACUGUGUGUGAAACUUCUGCCACAGAGCUAGUGAAAAUGUGCUUUGUGGUAUGUGAUGGAAAGGACCCAGUACCUCUGAUGGUGCACUUGAAACUCACAGAAGAAUUGGGCACUGGACAAAGUGUAGCCCUUGAGCAUCCCACAGUAUCUCAGCUUAGCUGGGCAUUUUAAAUAUAUGAUCUGUGUUGCUGGUUUUGAGAGACGACCUGCCAUGCUAUUGUGGUAACUGCUUGUUUUUCAGUACUCAGAGUCCUUAAUAUCCUUAGGUGAAAAAGGGGAACAACUGUGAAUACAAUGAAGAGCAUUAAAAACAUAUUCAAACUGAAUUUCUAGGCCAAAUGCUCAGUUCUCCAUAGUUUUUAUUUCUGUAUCAUGUCAGACUGAUAACUUUUAUUUUCAUCAAUGGAGGAGCAUAUUCAAGCUAUUUUAGGAUUCAAACACUAUCGAAGUUACAACUCUUGCUCAGAUAACAGAAGCAUCACAGUUCAGACACCUUUGCAGAACUGGAAGUUGCUUCUUGUGGUUGAAGUCCUGUGUGCUAUAAAUACAAAAGCUGAAAAACUGAAUUCAUACUGACUGUGAACAGAGACAGAGUGAUAAAGAGCUUUAUAUUAAUCUGGAUUUCCCUUUCAGAUUGUUAGAGCCAACAUGGCCUAUUUUCAAGGACCUUGGCAAGACCUACUUAUCUGUGGCUGAGGUAUCUGUGGCUGUAGACAAAUAUUGCUUGGCACUUUCAGUUGUGAUUAUAUUUCCAUUUCAAAACCACAUGGAUAGCACUUGGUCACUCUUUUUGUGAUUCUGUCUUAUACUUGACAUAGCCUGAAAUCAUACUUAAAGCCUAAAUUUAAAUGGUAGAUAUCACACUUUCCUCUUGCCAUAUGAGAAUGCCCUUAUAUACACAUGUCUGCAUAUGACAGACCCUCCCUCACCUCAACCAGCUGAAUACAUUGUCAUCUUUCAUAGCAGAAAAAACUGAGGGUGAAACAUCCUGUGUUCUCUAGAUGGCUCUUGAAUAUUGAUGAAAACGCAGGUGGGAACUAAAGUUACAUCAAGCCAUUGUAGACAUAAGACAUUUAGAAUUUUUCAUAGGAAGCGUAACUCAUCCUUGGAAGGGCUUUUUAAGACUUGUGACAGAUUCACUCAGUAUUUGGUAACUUCCAGUAGCUGGGAUUGCAAAGCUGGAGAGAUGCACGUUGGUUCACAGGUUUCUGAAGGGGAGUUGCAGCUCAGGGCUUAAAUGGUAGACAGCAUUGACGGACAGGAUGACCCCUUGUUGAUCAAAACACUAGUCUGUAGCAGAACUAUAGACUUUGAACUUUGCGACACUGAAUAUUGCAGUUUGAGUCUAUGUGGAAGGAACACUGAAUUAGACUCCUAAGCAAUAACCUCACUCUGGGAGUUUCCAAUAGCAUUGCAAAGCUGUGUCCAGGGUUUAGUCUGCACCACAGACCAGGCUCUAGGGAUGUCAAAUUAGACACAUUUCGUGCAUACUGCUUAGGGUAAAUGUGUUUGUACAGGCUCUUGUUAGAUAUAGACAGAAUAAGACAGUGCACUCAGUCUUCUUGCCAUACAACCAGUUUGUUGGAAGUUAGCACUACCACUUCUGGUGAUUAACCACCAUCACUUAAAAUUAUAAUUGGUUUAAUAGUUGAACUAUGGAUAUGUAAUUUCUAUCAUACUAAUGAAAUAAACCUCAUCAUCUCUUAAAUGAUGACUUGGAGGCUGAAAGGCAAAAC